Molecule: ribosomal RNA, 253 nt
Filed under: uncultured organism
Description: partial 16S ribosomal RNA
Rfam family: Bacterial small subunit ribosomal RNA
Source: RNAcentral
UACGAAGGGGGCUAGCGUUGUUCGGAUUUACUGGGCGUAAAGGGCGCGUAGGCGGUGUCGUCAGUCAGGCGUGAAAGCCCCGGGCUCAACCCGGGAAUUGCGCUUGAUACUGCGGCACUUGAAUCCAGGAGAGGAUGGCGGAAUUCCCAGUGUAGAGGUGAAAUUCGUAGAUAUUGGGAAGAACACCGGUGGCGAAGGCGGCCAUCUGGCCUGGCAUUGACGCUGAGGCGCGAAAGCGUGGGGAGCAAACAGG